UACGUAGGCAGCGAGCGUUGUUCGGAGUUACUGGGCGUAAAGGGUGUGUAGGCGGUUGUUUAAGUUUGGUGUGAAACCUCCCGGCUCAACUGGGAGGGUGCGCCGAAUACUGAAUGACUCGAGUGCGGGAGAGGAAAGUGGAAUUCCUGGUGUAGCGGUGAAAUGCGUAGAUAUCAGGAGGAACACCGGUGGUGUAGACGGCUUUCUGGACCGUAACUGACGCUGAGACACGAAAGCGUGGGUAGCAAACAGG
This 253-nucleotide ribosomal RNA is filed under the name uncultured bacterium. Its description in RNAcentral is "partial 16S ribosomal RNA". It matches the Rfam family "Bacterial small subunit ribosomal RNA", at positions 524 to 776 of the family's 1533-position model. The record is from RNAcentral.